GACGAACGCUGGCGGCGUGCCUAACACAUGCAAGUGGAGCGACGAACCGGGCUUCGGCCCGGGGCAAAGCCGCGAACGGGUGAGUAACACGUGGGUAACCUGCCCUGAUGAUCGGGACAACCCGAGGAAACUCGGGCUAAUACCGAAUGUGCCCUCUGACCGCAAGGUCGCUGGGGAAAGGAAGCUUCGGCCUCCGCAUUGGGGAUGGGCCCGCGGCCCAUUAGCUUGUUGGUGAGGUAACGGCUCACCAAGGCGACGAUGGGUAGCUGGUCUGAGAGGACGAUCAGCCACACUGGGACUGAGACACGGCCCAGACUCCUACGGGAGGCAGCAGUGGGGAAUCUUGCGCAAUGCGCGAAAGCGUGACGCAGCAACGCCACGUGGGGAAGACGGCCU
Molecule: ribosomal RNA, 396 nt
Filed under: uncultured bacterium
Lineage: Bacteria
Description: bacterial SSU rRNA
Rfam family: Bacterial small subunit ribosomal RNA
Source: RNAcentral